Molecule: ribosomal RNA, 694 nt
Filed under: uncultured bacterium
Lineage: Bacteria
Description: bacterial SSU rRNA
Rfam family: Bacterial small subunit ribosomal RNA
Source: RNAcentral
AACGCUAGCUACAGGCUUAACACAUGCAAGUCGAGGGGCAGCAUGGUCUUAGCUUGCUAAGGCCGAUGGCGACCGGCGCACGGGUGAGUAACACGUAUCCAACCUGCCGUCUACUCUUGGACAGCCUUCUGAAAGGAAGAUUAAUACAAGAUGGCAUCAUGAGUCCGCAUGUUCACAUGAUUAAAGGUAUUCCGGUAGACGAUGGGGAUGCGUUCCAUUAGAUAGUAGGCGGGGUAACGGCCCACCUAGUCUUCGAUGGAUAGGGGUUCUGAGAGGAAGGUCCCCCACAUUGGAACUGAGACACGGUCCAAACUCCUACGGGAGGCAGCGGUGAGGAAUAUUGGUCAAUGGGCGAGAGCCUGAACCAGCCAAGUAGCGUGAAGGAUGACUGCCCUAUGGGUUGUAAACUUCUUUUAUAAAGGAAUAAAGUCGGGUAUGGAUACCCGUUUGCAUGUACUUUAUGAAUAAGGAUCGGCUAACUCCGUGCCAGCAGCCGCGGUAAUACGGAGGAUCCGAGCGUUAUCCGGAUUUAUUGGGUUUAAAGGGAGCGUAGAUGGAUGUUUAAGUCAGUUGUGAAAGUUUGCGGCUCAACCGUAAAAUUGCAGUUGAUACUGGAUAUCUUGAGUGCAGUUGAGGCAGGCGGAAUUCGUGGUGUAGCGGUGAAAUGCUUAGAUAUCACGAAGAACUCCGAUUG